AUUGAACGCUGGCGGCAUGCUUUACACAUGCAAGUCGAACGGUAGAGGGGGCAACCCCUUGAGAGUGGCGAACGGGUGAGUAAUGCAUCGGAACGUGCCCAGUCGUGGGGGAUAACGCAGCGAAAGCUGUGCUAAUACCGCAUACGAUCUCUGGAUGAAAGCGGGGGACCGAAAGGCCUCGCGCGAUUGGAGCGGCCGAUGUCAGAUUAGGUAGUUGGGGGGGGAAAGGCCUACCAAGUCAACGAUAUGUAGCUGGUCUGAGAGGACGACCAGCCACACUGGGACUGAGACACGGCCCAGACUCCUACGGGAGGCAGCAGUGGGGAAUUUUGGACAAUGGGCGCAAGCCUGAUCCAGCAAUGCCGCGUGCAGGAAGAAGGCCUUCGGGUUGUAAACUGCUUUUGUACGGAACGAAACGGUCUGGGUUAAUACCCUGGGCUAAUGACGGUACCGUAAGAAUAAGCACCGGCUAACUACGUGCCAGCGGCCGCCGUAA
RNAcentral lists this ribosomal RNA (496 nucleotides) under uncultured bacterium. Its description in RNAcentral is "partial 16S ribosomal RNA". It matches the Rfam family "Bacterial small subunit ribosomal RNA", at positions 29 to 523 of the family's 1533-position model. The record is from RNAcentral.